RNAcentral lists this ribosomal RNA (497 nucleotides) under uncultured bacterium. RNAcentral describes it as "partial 16S ribosomal RNA". It matches the Rfam family "Bacterial small subunit ribosomal RNA", at positions 28 to 507 of the family's 1533-position model. The record is from RNAcentral.
GAUGAACGCUGGCGGCGUGCCUAAUACAUGCAAGUCGAGCGAACGGACGAGAAGCUUGCUUCUCUGAUGUUAGCGGCGGACGGGUGAGUAACACGUGGAUAACCUACCUAUAAGACUGGGAUAACUUCGGGAAACCGGAGCUAAUACCGGAUAAUAUUUUGAACCGCAUGGUUCAAAAGUGAAAGACGGUCUUGCUGUCACUUAUAGAUGGAUCCGCGCUGCAUUAGCUAGUUGGUAAGGUAACGGCUUACCAAGGCAACGAUGCAUAGCCGACCUGAGAGGGUGAUAGGCCACACUGGAACUGAGACACGGUCCAGACUCCUACGGGAGGCAGCAGUAGGGAAUCUUCCGCAAUGGGCGAAAGCCUGACGGAGCAACGCCGCGUGAGUGAUGAAGGUCUUCGGAUCGUAAAACUCUGUUAUUAGGGAAGAACAUAUGUGUAAGUAGCUGUGCACAUCGUGACGGUACCUAAUCAGAAAGCCACGGCUAACUACGUG